RNAcentral lists this ribosomal RNA (468 nucleotides) under uncultured bacterium. Its description in RNAcentral is "partial 16S ribosomal RNA". It matches the Rfam family "Bacterial small subunit ribosomal RNA", at positions 28 to 507 of the family's 1533-position model. The record is from RNAcentral.
GACGAACGCUGGCGGCGUGCUUAACACAUGCAAGGCGAACGGAAAGGAGCUGCUUUUGGGGGGGGCGCGAGUGGCGAACGGGUGGGUAACAAGUGAGUAACCGGCCCUUGACUUUGGGAUAACUUCAGGAAAAUGGGGCUAAUACGGGAAAGGAGCUGCUGCGGCAUGGGGGGGUGUGGAAAGUUGCGGCGGGUGGGGAUGGCCUCGCGGCUUAUCAGCUUGUUGGUGGGGUAGUGGCUUACCAAGGCUUUGACGGGUAGCCGGCCUAAUUGGGUGACCGGCACCAUUGGGCCUGACAUACGGCCCAGACUCCUACGGUCAACCGCACUCGGGAAUAUUACACAAUGUACAGCGACCUUAUGCAACAACGCCGCGUCCUGGAUGACGGCCUUCCGGUUGUACACCGCUUUCGCCUGUGCCGCACCUUGAGUGACAUUCAUUUGUCACGAACCACCGGCUAACUCCGUG